GCCGAGAGGCUGACAGCCAAGUAGCGUGGAGGAUGACUGCCCUACGGGUUGUAAACUCCUUUUAUAAGGGGGUAAAGGCGUCUACGUGUAGAUGUUUGCAAGUACCUUAUGAAUAAGCAUCGGCUAACUCCGUG
Molecule: ribosomal RNA, 134 nt
Filed under: uncultured Bacteroidaceae bacterium
Lineage: Bacteria; Pseudomonadati; Bacteroidota; Bacteroidia; Bacteroidales; Bacteroidaceae
Description: partial 16S ribosomal RNA
Rfam family: Bacterial small subunit ribosomal RNA
Source: RNAcentral